UACGUAGGGGGCAAGCGUUGUCCGGAUUUACUGGGCGUAAAGAGCUCGUAGGCGGCUUGUCACGUCGGGUGUGAAAGACCGGGGCUUAACCCCGGUUCUGCAUUCGAUACGGGCUGGCUAGAGUGUGGUAGGGGAGAUCGGAAUUCCUGGUGUAGCAGUGAAAUGCGCAGAUAUCAGGAGGAACACCGGUGGCGAAGGCGGAUCUCUGGGCCAUUACUGACGCUGAGGAGCGAAAGCGUGGGGAGCGAACAGG
This 253-nucleotide ribosomal RNA is filed under the name uncultured bacterium. RNAcentral describes it as "partial 16S ribosomal RNA". It matches the Rfam family "Bacterial small subunit ribosomal RNA", at positions 524 to 776 of the family's 1533-position model. The record is from RNAcentral.